This 75-nucleotide antisense RNA is filed under the name Streptomyces atratus. RNAcentral's name for it is "ASpks TB sRNA". It matches the Rfam family "ASpks TB sRNA". The record is from RNAcentral. Lineage: Bacteria; Bacillati; Actinomycetota; Actinomycetes; Kitasatosporales; Streptomycetaceae.
CUUCAGCGAGCCCAGCCACAGCGGCCGGCCUUCCGCCCGUUCCUGGCCGUAUGUGUUGAUCAGCGCCUGGGCCUC